GAUGAAGAACGCAGCGAAAUGCGAUAAGUAAUGUGAAUUGCAGAAUUCAGAGAAUCAUCGAAUCUUUGAACGCACAUUGCGCCCGCCAGUAUUCUGGCGGGCAUGCCUGUUCGAGCGUCAUUUCAACCAUCAAGCCCCAGGCUUGUGUUGGGGACCUGCGGCUGCCGCAGGCCCUGAAAACCAGUGGCGGGCUCGCUGUCACACCGGGCGUAGUAGAUUUUAUCUCGCUCAGGGCGUGCUGCGGGUUCCGGCCGUUAAAAAGCCUUUUUUACCCAAGGUUGACCUCGGAUCAGGUAGGAAGACCCGCUGAACUUAAGCAUAUCAAUAAGCGGAGGA
This 336-nucleotide unclassified non-coding RNA is filed under the name soil metagenome. RNAcentral describes it as "partial contains 5.8S ribosomal RNA, internal transcribed spacer 2, and large subunit ribosomal RNA". The stretch from base 1 to 120 matches the Rfam family "5.8S ribosomal RNA", at positions 35 to 154 of the family's 154-position model. The record is from RNAcentral.